UACGUAGGGGGCAAGCGUUAUCCGGAUUUACUGGGUGUAAAGGGAGCGCAGACGGCGCGGCAAGUCCGGAGUGAAAGCCCGGGGCCCAACCCCGGGACUGCUCUGGAAACUGCGGCGCUCGAGUGCCGGAGGGGCAGGCGGAAUUCCUAGUGUAGCGGUGAAAUGCGUAGAUAUUAGGAGGAACACCAGUGGCGAAGGCGGCCUGCUGGACGGCAACUGACGUUGAGGCUCGAAAGCGUGGGGAGCAAACAGG
This 253-nucleotide ribosomal RNA is filed under the name uncultured bacterium. RNAcentral's name for it is "partial 16S ribosomal RNA". It matches the Rfam family "Bacterial small subunit ribosomal RNA", at positions 524 to 776 of the family's 1533-position model. The record is from RNAcentral.